This 468-nucleotide ribosomal RNA is filed under the name uncultured bacterium. Its description in RNAcentral is "partial 16S ribosomal RNA". It matches the Rfam family "Bacterial small subunit ribosomal RNA", at positions 28 to 507 of the family's 1533-position model. The record is from RNAcentral.
GACGAACGCUGGCGGCGUGCUUAACACAUGCAAGUCGAACGGAAAGGCCCUGCUUUUGUGGGGUGCUCGAGUGGCGAACGGGUGAGUAACACGUGAGUAACCUGCCCUUGACUUUGGGAUAACUUCAGGAAACUGGGGCUCAUACAGGAUAGGAGCUCCUGCUGCAUGGUGGGGGUUGGAAAGUUUCGGCGGUUGGGGAUGGACUCGCGGCUUAUCAGCUUGUUGGUGGGGUAGUGGCUUACCAAGGCUUUGACGGGUAGCCGGCCUGCGAGGGUGACCGGCCACAUGGGGACUGAGAUACGGCCCAGACGCGUACGGGAGGCAGCAGUGGGGAAUAUUGCACAAUGGGCGGAAGCCUGAUGCAGCAACGCCGCGUGCGGGAUGACGGCCUUCGGGGUGUAAACCGCUUUCGCCUGUGACGAAGCGUGAGUGACGGUAAUGGGUAAAGAAGCACCGGCUAACUACGUG